UGCAAUUCUAACACCUGCUUCAUCACUAACCCACUGGAAACCGACUGGAAAUCUAUUCCUGGUUGCCAAUAUGCCGAUUUUGUUCCCAAGGUCUUUUUCUUCGAGUUUCUCCAGCGUGUAUCUAACCUUGCCUUGGUGAGACAAGAGACGAGCGGAGCAGUUGCUACAGGCCUGACGUGGCUGGCAACACUGCACACCCAUAGGGCAGGAAUACUAACUAAUUAUACCCAGCAAACCAGACUCACUGAUAUAGGCUAGCCUAUAGGCUCGGGUGAAAUGUGUAUUCUCGUUAAAUAGACUAGCCUAGGCCGAACAUGGACAUUGGUUAUAAUAUGAAACAACUAACUGUAGGCCAAUUUGAAAAAAAUAAUUAAAGGUAUGACUAUUAGGCUAAGUCUGGUUCAUCCCAGUUUAUGGGAUGAACCAUGGGAUGAAAUUCAAAGAAAUUUUCGUUUUGUAAGUUUAAUUAAUUAACGUUAGUUUGUGACAUGGUCAAAUAUCAGUUAAAACAGGAUAUCGAGAUGACGCCUGGACCUUUAUGUGUCGACCUACAAUAGAUUCAAUUCAGUGUCCAAAGUGCAUUGCUACAACACCGCUUGCACCUGAACACAGUGUUUUGCGUUUGUUGAUUAUUUUGUGUUGUUGUCAUAUUUAAUUACCUAGGCCUGCCGGUAUAAAUUGUAGAAAUGCGUUGGUUGCUCAUUGCGUCCCUUGCGCUCCUCUUCAGGGUGAGUGACCAUUUAUCUCCAAGGAGACAAAUUCAAGUUAACAACACGCAGUUGGCUCUAGUGCGUCCUCUACGCAAAAACAAUUGAAAAAGACAGGAGAGCAAGUUCUGCAACAAUCACCAGCAGUAGCCUAAUACAAAUGGAUGACAAUCUCUCAAGUUUGGAAACAGAGGUACCAUGUAAGAAACCGGAAGUAGUUCUCACUAUUUUACACAUUAAUUAUGUGACCGAAAUAGAAGCAAGUCCAGAAUAACUGGUUGGCGGAGCCGCAAGGUAAAGGUUAGCUAGCUAACGUUUUGAAAAAACACUUAGGCCUAACUAACUUGAACUUCCGUUGGCUGGAUCAAGUCUGGUUGAAAUUUCACUCUGUCUAACGUCGGGCAAUCUAGCUAGCCUUUGUAAACAUUCGAAUUUCACAAAACUAAAUGUUAACUAUGGUUUUCUCCCCCAGGUUUGCCACUGCUCUAAAAGUAUUACAGUCGCUAAAUCCGUUGAUAGUUUUCAGUGGUGACUGUCUGAGCCCUUCCUUGCUAAGCACAGUCACCAAGGGAAAGCAUAUGGUAGAUGUUCUAAAUAAAUUAGGAGUCCACUGUGCUGUGUAUGGUAAGUGCUUCUCUCCAACCAUGCAUUACUACUUAAUUGUACACAAAAAUAAUCCUGAGAGGAUCCCUUUCUCCAAAUUCAUUACACAGAGUGCUCUCUCUCUCUCACUCACUCACACAGAGAUCCUGCAAAACUAAUAAGGGCUCAAUUCAAUCCGGAUCGCGGUAGUUCAGUUUUACAGGGUGAUUGAAAUUUAAAGGCAAUGUUCCCCUUUUAGCGGAGACUGCAUUCACAGUAAAUUAUGCAUUGGUUGCCUCAAUUGGAAAUCACGUUUACAUUUCUAUUAUGGAAUCUGUAACACUUCAGCUUUACAGAUUGAAUAUAGCCCUUAAUGUUGUUUCAUUGUCUUCAUCUAAGGCAAUCAUGAAUUUGACUUCGGUCUGGACCUCUUGGAAGAACAUACUAAAAUGAUGUCCUUCCCAUGGUUCAUUAACAAUGUGUAUGACAGGUCAGUUUCACCGAGCAAUACUAGGCUAUAUAUACCAGUGGGUUAACACACUUGUGCGCACAAUACUUUGCAAGUGUCAAUAAAUCUUCAGUUGUACCUAAAGGGCUAUUUGUUGUUUUACAUCCAGUGUUUCAUUUUAAUGUAAACAAACAGCAAUUGUGCACUCAAAGGUUCACUAGUGAAACGUUGGUCCAUGGCGUGGUCAGCAGCAUCCUGGAGUAGAACGGCCUGUGAAGAUCGAUUUCAUGGGCCUGGUAGAGGAGGACUGGAUGGAUACCCUGGGCACUGUGGACAAGAACGACAUCAAGUAUAUAGACUUACGUGGAGACAGCAGAUCGGCUGUCUGCUGAGCUGAGGGACAAAGGGGCUGACCUGGGCAUCACACUCACACACAUGAGGUGGCGUAAUGGCAUCAGGCGAGCAUCCAAGUCUAAAGGUGUGGAUCUCAUCCUGGGAGGACAUGACCAUGAGUGCAGGGUACUGGAGGUCAAUGGGAUUGGGAUUGUGAAGAGUGGCUCAGAGUUCAGUUACAUUUCGAAGAGUGAUGUUGUGAAGGGCCAGGAUUGGACUUUCAAGUACAGCUGUGUAAAGAUAGCCACAAUGAAAGACCGUGAGGAAGAUGCAGGAAUCCGGCAGAGUGUGAAAGGAUACACUGAUAAUAUGCUGGUGAUUUUCUGUUGUUGCAGCUUAAUUUGCUUACAGUAGUGUGUGUCUGUGUUACUAGCCUGGCCAGAUGCCACUAAGCUGACGUUUUAUGAAUUGAUGUCACUGUCUCAGCACAUGCUUGGAGAGGUCCUGUGCCACAUAGAAAUGGCCUUGGAUGGACGCUAUGCCGCCGUGAGAUGAGCAGAGUGCUACCUGGGUAAUCUGGUCAUCUAUGCCAUGCUGGAGGCCACUCAUGCUGACGUGGCUUUUUUAAACUCAGAGCAGACUUGUUGAAUACAGAAAGAGUUUGGCACCCAGGGCUUGGAGAACGGAAUCCGCAACUACCUUGCUCUGGAUGGAAGAUUUCCCCAGGUUUCUGGGAUCCAUUUUGGCUUUGGUCUCAUUGGAAAACCUGGCAGUCAUCGCUGAGACUGUGAAGGUUCAAGGGCAACGAUGACUACACCAUGUUCAGUGGCGGACCUCAUAGGCACAUAAGGCACGUUUUAUGAAUAUAUGUCACUCUGUCUCAGCACAUGCUUGGAGAGGUCCUGUGCCACAUAGACGUGGCCUUGGAUGGACGCUACGCCGCAGUGAGACGAGCAGAGUGCAACCUGGGUAAUCUGGUCAUCUAGGCCAUGCUGGAGGCUACUCAUGCUGAGGUGGCUUUUUUAAACUCAGCAGGAAAUCAGAUCCUGUCAACCGUCCUUAUCAACCACUUUGAGUCUGGCCGGAUAGUCAGAUGCAUGAAGAGGUGCAAGUCUGGUCACAUGAUGGGCCUUAUCAAGGUGUCCAGAAGCCCCUCUGUGUCUGGUGAGCACAGCUGCUUCUGUCAUUCAUAACACUCAUUUCCAAGAGCUGACUAAUGUCCUACCUGUCCUGUUUUUCAUUACUGUGCUGAUCACAUCUCUGAUUGAGAGCUAACCUGGAGUGUGUACUGAUGGUGUUUCUGCGGCCAUUGAGAGAUCCAAGAAUGAGAGUCUGGAGGGAGAGGUGGGAGUGGCUCUGGUGCCCGUAGUGGAGGGCAGGAUAUUCCACGUCCAACCUGAGGGCCAUUCAGAAACAGAAAGCUAACAGUAGGCAGGGCUGUUCCUCGUCUGAGAAUUCCACAGAGCUACUAAGCCACGGCUCCAUAGUCACCGUGGGAACCAGGGGACAUUACAUCAAGUCUUUUGCAUCUCUCAUCUACUGCUUGUUUUUUUAUCAGCCUCAUAAACGAGGCAGAUUGUCAAUAAACACUUGGACAGAAACAUGAGAUUAAAGUCAUUCAUUGUAUUACUUCCAGGAACAUUGUGCAAUUCAUUGACAUUGCACCUGAAAUUACUCAAUUAAAUGUGAACAUCGAAAACUA
This is a long non-coding RNA of Oncorhynchus gorbuscha (pink salmon), 3772 nucleotides long. RefSeq lists it as uncharacterized. NCBI's taxonomy places the organism in Eukaryota, Metazoa, Chordata, Actinopteri, Salmoniformes, Salmonidae. The transcript has 6 exons. The record is from RefSeq and is a predicted model, not a curated record.